CAGUCGCCACGGGAAUACGAAGGGUGCGAGCGUUGUCCGGAUUUAUUGGGCGUAAAGGGCUCGUAGGCGGCCUGUCGCGUCGGAAGUGAAAGCCCACUGCUUAACGGUGGGUCUGCUUCCGGUACGGGCAGGCUGGAGUAUGGCAGGGGAGACUGGAAUUCCUGGUGUAGCGGUGGAAUGCGCAGAUAUCAGGAGGAACACCGGUGGCGAAGGCGGGUCUCUGGGCCAUUACUGACGCUGAGGAGCGAAAGCGUGGGGAGCGAACAGGAUUAGAUACCCCGGUAGUCCCUGUCUCUUAUAC
This 301-nucleotide ribosomal RNA is filed under the name uncultured bacterium. Its description in RNAcentral is "partial 16S ribosomal RNA". It matches the Rfam family "Bacterial small subunit ribosomal RNA", at positions 509 to 807 of the family's 1533-position model. The record is from RNAcentral.